Molecule: long non-coding RNA, 1640 nt
Filed under: Phaseolus vulgaris (common bean)
Lineage: Eukaryota; Viridiplantae; Streptophyta; Magnoliopsida; Fabales; Fabaceae
Description: long non-coding RNA (PVUL_LNC001479)
Source: RNAcentral
AAAAUUAAUCAUGAUGAUGGAGCGGCAACAAGUUGACACCUCAACAUGCACAAGUCAGGUUCACCCUCACUAUGCUCGGAGCCUUGAUGAUCAACCCCUGCCUUGAGUUCAUCAUUUUGUAAGUUUUCUUAAAACAUUUCUUAAGUUUGGUUUGUAGUUUCCUUGACAAGAAUUUAUGCAAUGCAAUAGAAAGACAUGGAGAGGUUGAGUCAUUUAUGUAUUACUCACAUUGCAUGCAUGACUCUUUGCAUGUUUUUAUCUUCUUGGCAGUGUUGUGAUGAACAUGUUUUUAUCUUCUUGGUAGUGUUAUGAUGUGCAUGUUUUUAUCUUCUUGGUAGUGUUGUGAUGAGUGAGUGUGUUCAUGCAGUAAAAGUUCGUGAUAUAAGCAAGGGAAAAAUGAUUGCAAUUUUGGGUAAGUAUCUUAUUGGCAGUGUGUUCAUGCAGUAUCUCUCAUUUUUCUGUUUUGGGAAAAUAUUGCAAUUUUGUGAGGUACAUAGAUAUAUAUGUUCUCUUCUAAUCCUCUGUGAAGACAGACACACUAGGUUGUGACAUCUAUCUUUGCUUAAAACAUUUGGCAAGUGUCAUUGCCUUUCAAUGUUCAAUCACAAACUUCUUCAUUUUGGUGUAAUUAGAUUCAUUGUGGAAAUCAUCCAAAAAUUAGAAAUGGUAUUGUUUUAUAUUUGGAUUAUGCAUGGAUCUGUUUUGUAUCCUAAGCAUGUUGUGUUGUGGUGUGUUAUGAUGAAUGAAUUUGAAUUUGUUUGAGCAUUAUAGACCGAACAUGUCCUGCCGCGUAGGACUGAGUGUUGUUUUUAUCCCAAAAUUUGAAACCCUACGCAGAAUAUAAGGUCAUGGGAUCUUCAAUAGCUGAUGAGCUAGUUUUCAUUCAAAACAGCAUAAAAGAGACGAUGAAUAGAAAACACCUUCUACUGGUUUAUCAGCCAAGUUGCAGUCCAGCAACAAAAAUGAACAACGAAGUAUAGUUAAAUCCUUUCUUUCUUUCAAAAAUUCGCAGUACAGGUCUAUCGAACACAUGAUUGAUUGCAAGUACCGAAGCAAGGUUCCUCAGUUAUUCUACCAUAUAUCCAUUUUGCAUUCACACGAUUCUUCGCAAGUAUUUCUUAUAGGGCACUACUCACAUUGUACUCCUACAGGUAUUGAAUUCUUGUUUACUGGUAUAGGAAGUGUAUAAAGUCUUCAGUUUUCUUCAUUGUGUUAUUGGGACUGGGAGUUCUGAUUCCAAAUGUCUGGGUGUGGUGCAUCUAGCUUGAUAUAUGUCGAAUCAUAGGUGCCUUCAUGGUAAAUAGAGUGUGUAAAAAUUAAAUGAAAAAUCCACAUUCAAACAAAACAACUAUUUAUUUUCAUACAAUCUCAUCAUGUUAUUCAUAUAUAUACUCAUGCAUGGAUACUUAUUAAAUUCAUCUAUACUCAAAAAUUAUGUUUGGUUAUGUGUAUUUUUUUGAAAAUGGUGCUUAAAUUUAUAAGAUCUAUAACAUUUCUUUCUCUUGGUAAUUUAUGAUAUGAGUAAAAAAAGUUACAGCAUCAUUAAACUAAUAUUUUAGCAGAAGUUCAGUCAUUUAUGUAGAUCUCCUAAAUUUAAAGUUUAUUCAAUGAACCUAUGUUGGUGAUGAACCUAAAUUAAA